This 509-nucleotide ribosomal RNA is filed under the name uncultured Acidobacteriota bacterium. RNAcentral's name for it is "bacterial SSU rRNA". It matches the Rfam family "Bacterial small subunit ribosomal RNA", at positions 1003 to 1505 of the family's 1533-position model. The record is from RNAcentral. Lineage: Bacteria; Pseudomonadati; Acidobacteriota.
GAAGUGGGGUAGGCCCCGCAAGGGGUACAACUGGUACAGGUGCUGCAUGGCUGUCGUCAGCUCGUGUCGUGAGAUGCCGGGUUAAGUCCCUUAACGAGCGAAACCUUUGCCCUUAGUUACCAGCGGGUUAUGCCGGGGACUCUAAGGGGACUGCCGGUGUCAAACCGGAGGAAGGUGGAGAUGACGUCAAGUCCUCAUGGCCUUUAUGUCCAGGGCUACACACGUGCUACAAUGGCCGGUACAAACCGACGCAAGAGCGCAAGCUGGAGCAAAUCGGAAAAAGCCGGUCUCAGUUCGGAUUGGGGUCUGCAACUCGACCCCAUGAAGCUGGAAUCGCUAGUAAUCGCGGAUCAGCACGCCGCGGUGAAUACGUUCCCGGGCCUUGUACACACCGCCCGUCACAUCACGAAAGUCGGCUGUACCAGAAGCCGGUGGGUCAACCCGCAAGGGAGAUAGCCGUCUAAGGUAUGGUCGGUAAUUGGGGUGAAGUCGUAACAAGGUAGCCGUAA